Pelobates cultripes (western spadefoot toad) is the source of this 748-nucleotide non-coding RNA. NCBI's taxonomy places the organism in Eukaryota, Metazoa, Chordata, Amphibia, Anura, Pelobatidae. The record is from the annotation of a GenBank genome assembly.
CUUAGAGAACAAAGAUACUUGUUGAAAAUAAAUAAAUAAAUAUCAACAAGUGGGUGUUUUGAUGGCCAUAAUAAUGCCUGACCACCUGCCAUCGAUGGAAAGCUGAAUACCCCAAAAGGGGACCUCGUGAAACUAAAGAGAAACAAACAUACUCCUUACCCUGCAGCCCUCACGUCUGAGGUGCCAUACGCACAGUCAAAGCUUCUUCAAGAUCAUCUGCUUAUCUUGAGUUUGUGAUGAUAUUAAUAUUGAAUGUUUAAAUGAUCUGAAUCUGCCAGUACUAGGGUAGCAUGAGACAAGAUUUCUAAGAAUAAGUAAAUGUGCCCUAGCCUAGGUUAUUAUGUCCAUACACAUAACACAUGACAAUCCCCAAGGUACUCUUGACACACCUCAUUCAUGCUUCAGGACAAAAAGGAGUACCCCUAUAAAGGGUGGUUUUACCCACACAUAUAUAUAUAUGUAUAUUAAUGCCAUAGGGGUGUCAAGGGGGGUACCAAAUAAUUUUAAGGUAAGAAACUAAGUUUGAAUCUAUUCUCCCAAGCAUUACGGCUAAUAAAAUCUGAAUUGGAAGGGAAGAGGUUUAUACAAUAAACAGGAGACCUUUUUCUUACAGGACAUGUAUGACUCAGCUGAAUGGGUAGGUGCCACGCACAUGACUGUUAAUCCCCUCAAACCACACAUUAGGACUUUAAAAGACAUGGUAGUCAUCCCAUAUUUGAGGAUAAGAGGGCUGUAGAGACAGGUUUCU